Molecule: ribosomal RNA, 253 nt
Filed under: uncultured bacterium
Lineage: Bacteria
Description: partial 16S ribosomal RNA
Rfam family: Bacterial small subunit ribosomal RNA
Source: RNAcentral
UACGUAGGGGGCAAGCGUUAUCCGGAUUUACUGGGUGUAAAGGGAGCGUAGACGGCUUUGCAAGCCAGAUGUGAAAGCCCGGGGCUCAAUCCCGGGACUGCAUUUGGAACUGUGUGGCUAGAGUGUCGGAGAGGCAGGCGGAAUUCCUAGUGUAGCGGUGAAAUGCGUAGAUAUUAGGAGGAACACCAGUGGCGAAGGCGGCCUGCUGGACGAUGACUGACGUUGAGGCUCGAAAGCGUGGGGAGCAAACAGG